GACGAACGCUGGCGGCGUGCUUAACACAUGCAAGUCGUACGGUAAGGCCCUUUCGGGGGUCCACGAGUGGCGAACGGGUGAGUAACACGUGAGUAACCUGCCCACAACUUUGGGAUAACGCUAGGAAACUGGUGCUAAUACUGGAUAUGUGCUCCUGCUGCAUGGUGGGGGUUGGAAAGCUCCGGCGGUUGUGGAUGGACUCGCGGCCUAUCAGCUUGUUGGUGGGGUAGUGGCCUACCGAGGCGGCGACGGGUAGCCGGCCUGAGAGGGUGACCGGCCACAUUGGGACUGAGAUACGGCCCAGACUCCUACGGGAGGCAGCAGUGGGGAAUAUUGCACAAUGGGCGCAAGCCGGAUGCAGCAACGCCGCGGGCGGGAGGACGGCCUUCGGGUUGUAAACCGCUUUCAGCAGGGACGAAGCUUUUUGUGACGGUACCUGCAGAAGAAGCACCGGCUAACUACGUG
RNAcentral lists this ribosomal RNA (465 nucleotides) under uncultured bacterium. RNAcentral's name for it is "partial 16S ribosomal RNA". It matches the Rfam family "Bacterial small subunit ribosomal RNA", at positions 28 to 507 of the family's 1533-position model. The record is from RNAcentral.